Molecule: ribosomal RNA, 366 nt
Filed under: uncultured organism
Description: bacterial SSU rRNA
Rfam family: Bacterial small subunit ribosomal RNA
Source: RNAcentral
CGGAGGAUCCAAGCGUUAUCCGGAUUCAUUGGGUUAAAGGGUGCGUAGCGGAAUGAUAAGUCAGUGGUGAAAUCUCGGAGCUUAACUCCGAAACUGCCAUUGAUACUGUCAAUCUUGAGUACAUUUGAUGAGGGCGGAAUGUGUCAUGUAGCGGUGAAAUGCUUAGAUAUGACACAGAACACCGAUUGCGAAGGCAGCUCUCAAAACUGUAACUGACGCUGAGGCACGAAAGCGUGGGUAUCAAACAGGAUUAGAUACCCUGGUAGUCCACGCUGUAAACUAUGAUUACUCGAUGUUUGCGAUAUACUGUAAGCGUCUAAGCGAAAGCGAUAAGUAAUCCACCUGGGGAGUACGCUCGCAAGAGUG